UCUCCUGUAGGUUCGUCCAUUGACUAAAUCGUUUGCUCUUCGAUGUUCCAGGUUUGGUGUCUAGAAAAGAAGAUCCAGGUUUGGAAUUGUAAGAGGUCAUAAUUAACCAAUGUAGGCUGGAGAAGGCAUUGCUUCUUUACAUGAAUGUGCUUCCUUUUUAUGUAGUGGAAAAUAAUUCCGUGCCGCUAGCUCAUCCAUGAUAACCAUCUAUUUCAUAUUUAUCUAAUUAUGCAAGAAACCAACUAUUUAUAUCUUCCAAUACAUCAAGCUAGUAGUCUCAGGAACCUGAAAUCAGCUUAAACCAUAGCAGUAUUUUGUUUUCAUCAAAGAGCUUUGUUGUGGCAAAAAUACUAAGUCGUGAGGAACAUUUGGAUGCAAAGCACCCAUGUUCCUGAGAGAAACCCAUGUUGUACAUUUCUGUUCUCUCGUUUUUACUUUGCGAAGUUAUCUCAAGCAUCUGCUUUUAUUUUGGUGCAGGUAGAUUUUACAAAUGGAUGCCCAGGCUUAAAUAGUUACAAAUGACAUAGCAGCAGAAGGACAGAUGUAUUGGAUAGCUUCUGCUAUUGACUUUCCUGUUCAUUUCAGUACUUUGACUUAUCGAAAGCGGCGAACUGAAGGAAGCUUCGUCUGCGAAAAAACAUACUGCUGGAUUUUCAGUGUAGCUGGUGUUCCUAUUCACGCUUAAAAAGUGCUUCAUAAUAGCCUCAUUUUACAAUUCAAGUUGGGCGUUUCCGAGUUGUGCGGAGCUCCUGUUUUGACCUGUCUCUGUAAUGGGUGUUCUGAGUUAUGAUUUUAGGUUUGUUUGUCUGGUGUGUCAGGUAGAGAUACUGGCUCUCUCAUGGAUGCAAAAUAAAAAUAUAACUUUAUUACCUUUAUGAUAUAAAUUGUGAACGAUGACCUCCAAAUGCACAAGCAAACUAGACAAUGCAGAAUUCAAAUGAGAAUACUUGUUGAUGUGUACUUUCUAUUUUUUUUU
This 976-nucleotide long non-coding RNA is filed under the name Triticum aestivum (bread wheat). Its description in RNAcentral is "long non-coding RNA (TAES_LNC000004)". The record is from RNAcentral. Lineage: Eukaryota; Viridiplantae; Streptophyta; Magnoliopsida; Poales; Poaceae.